RNAcentral lists this ribosomal RNA (253 nucleotides) under uncultured bacterium. RNAcentral describes it as "partial 16S ribosomal RNA". It matches the Rfam family "Bacterial small subunit ribosomal RNA", at positions 524 to 776 of the family's 1533-position model. The record is from RNAcentral. RNAcentral also lists the same sequence under 1 other name.
GACGUAGGAGGCGAGCGUUAUCCGGAUUUACUGGGCGUAAAGCGCACGCAGGCGGCUUCGUUAGUCGGAUGUGAAAGCUCCUGGCUUAACCGGGAGAGGCCAUUCGAUACUGCGAGGCUUGAGGUUGGAAGAGGGGUGUGGAAUUCCCGGUGUAGUGGUGGAAUGCGUAGAUAUCGGGAGGAACACCUGUGGCGAAAGCGGCACCCUGGUCCACACCUGACGCUGAGGUGCGAAAGCGUGGGUAGCAAACAGG